This 1152-nucleotide long non-coding RNA is filed under the name Mytilus galloprovincialis (Mediterranean mussel). The record is from RNAcentral. Lineage: Eukaryota; Metazoa; Mollusca; Bivalvia; Mytilida; Mytilidae.
CAAGAACACAGUUGUUUUUCAAUAACGAUACCAAGGUUACACACGCCUAUUGGAGCUUUCUUCGUCAGACAGAAACAACGUAGUACUACGGUGACAAUAACCGAGAUAUAGCAGCCACAACUGUGCAAACAUGCAAUACAGACAUUCAACACAGCUUAGGAACUCAAACAUACAUACAAAUAAACCCGAGAAAAAGACACAAGAAAAAAUGGUUUUUGACAAUCAUACCUUUCUUCCUUUUUUGUAAAUCGACGUAUUCUUAUACCUCUGUCAGAUAAAUGCAUGCUGGCCUUAAUUUAGCAUUUCAGUUUCGGACGAGUCAUUGUUCCAAAAAUGUAUUUCAAUAUUGAUUGUCAUUUAUUGCGAAAAUUGUGCAGUCCUACUAUACAUUUAUGGUGACGAGAAAAGAAAGGACUAACCUUCAAUUGCCAGUAGACUCAAGGAAAUAAUCGCAUCGAUGAAUGAAUCGUAAAUUUAAAAUACGAAUGUAUAGUAAAGACAGUUAAACUAUGAAGUACCAAAAAAGAAACUUUUUAAUAUUGAUGGUUAUUACCAUACAAUUAUAUAAAUUUACAUUUCAGUUUAGUGGCAGUUUUAAGUUUAGUUUUGUCUUUUCAUAUAAUAAGUAUAUGUUAUGAUCACGACUAUGCUCACAACAUUAUUGUACAAUUAUUUUAUAAAUAAUAGUAUUACGAAAUAUAAAUUGAUUUUGAUUCUAAGGAUGUAAAACAGUCAUUAUGUGGUAAGUACCGAUUUCAAACGAAUAGUAAAUACUGCUUUACUACACACCAGCUUGAUGUUUGUUUUUUGCUUUUUUUUUAUUUUAUUGAAGAUGAUUUUACUCGUGUAAACUGUGCCACCAAUUGAUAAAGAAAUAUAUUUGCAUGUAAAAUAUUUCACUUAUACAUUGAAAAAUCCAUUUUAACUAAUUUGUUUAUAUAAAGAUUCAUUCGAGCAGGGCUUUAAGUAUAAAUGAGGAGCAAUUAUUUUUUACAAUAUGCUAUAAUCAAUAUCAUGUAGUUACAUAGUUCACAAAACUCGAAAUGGACGUUUAAUAUAUGAUUCUAAAUAUAUGCAAUCAAAUAUUGAUAUAACUAUAAGAUGUUCGUUAUAUUAAAAUGUUUUGUUCUAAUACGAAAUGAUAAUGUUGUG